GGAUUACCCACAAAGCCAAACUCCUGAGGUAAUAAGGAACAGUUCGUGAGACGCACAGCAAUCUGAGCAGACUCAUAAAUGGAGCAGUGUCCAAAGUCCACCUCAGUGUGGUCGAACCACAGUCCAUUGUCAGUUCUCGUCGUGUUUAUACCAGCACACUCCAGAUGGAGCCUGAUGCGAUAUAAGAGCCAGAGCAGACACCUGAUCCAUAAAAUCACCUGGAAGCCUAAACCUACCACAUCUGUUUAGGUGUAUGAACUGGCAACAUCGCCAGUUUCUGUGGACCUAUGAGUGGAAUAUGAGGGGAUGGAGUGGAGUUUCAUUACCAAACACCCAACAAUCAAAAUCUGUGUUCCUACCCCCUCCCA
This is a long non-coding RNA of Carassius carassius (crucian carp), 368 nucleotides long. RefSeq lists it as uncharacterized. The transcript has 2 exons. The record is from RefSeq and is a predicted model, not a curated record. NCBI's taxonomy places the organism in Eukaryota, Metazoa, Chordata, Actinopteri, Cypriniformes, Cyprinidae.